This 800-nucleotide ribosomal RNA is filed under the name uncultured bacterium. Its description in RNAcentral is "bacterial SSU rRNA". It matches the Rfam family "Bacterial small subunit ribosomal RNA", at positions 9 to 776 of the family's 1533-position model. The record is from RNAcentral.
GAGUUUGAUCAUGGCUCAGGAUGAACGCUGGCGGCGUGCCUAAUACAUGCAAGUCGAACGAAACUUCUUUAUCACCGAGUGCUUGCACUCACCGAUAAAGAGUUGAGUGGCGAACGGGUGAGUAACACGUGGGCAACCUGCCCAAAAGAGGGGGAUAACACUUGGAAACAGGUGCUAAUACCGCAUAACCAUAGUUACCGCAUGGUAACUAUGUAAAAGGUGGCUAUGCUACCGCUUUUGGAUGGGCCCGCGGCGCAUUAGCUAGUUGGUGAGGUAAAGGCUUACCAAGGCAAUGAUGCGUAGCCGAACUGAGAGGUUGAUCGGCCACAUUGGGACUGAGACACGGCCCAAACUCCUACGGGAGGCAGCAGUAGGGAAUCUUCCACAAUGGGCGAAAGCCUGAUGGAGCAACGCCGCGUGGGUGAAGAAGGUCUUCGGAUCGUAAAACCCUGUUGUUAGAGAAGAAAGUGCGUGAGAGUAACUGUUCACGUUUCGACGGUAUCUAACCAGAAAGCCACGGCUAACUACGUGCCAGCAGCCGCGGUAAUACGUAGGUGGCAAGCGUUAUCCGGAUUUAUUGGGCGUAAAGGGAACGCAGGCGGUCUUUUAAGUCUGAUGUGAAAGCCUUCGGCUUAACCGGAGUAGUGCAUUGGAAACUGGGGGACUUGAGUGCAGAAGAGGAGAGUGGAACUCCAUGUGUAGCGGUGAAAUGCGUAGAUAUAUGGAAGAACACCAGUGGCGAAAGCGGCUCUCUGGUCUGUAACUGACGCUGAGGUUCGAAAGCGUGGGGAGCAAACAGG